AAACAGGUCACUGUCACCAGUGUGAUCCAGGGCCUGGCCCAGCCCUGGGCCCAGCCUGUCUUGAGUAACCCUGUCAGAGGCCAAGCUCCCUGUUUUGCUUGCGCAAUAGCCACUCCGGGGGCCAGAGGCCUGGCCUCAAGAGAACUUGAUGGGGGAAGCCUUGCGCCCAGAGGCUUUGCCCCUCACUGAGGGCACAAUCAAGCCCUCCAACCAGGCCCCUCCUCUACCAGGAGCCAGGGGAGAAGGAACCAGAGAUUACAUGGUGAGCAAGGAGGACAGCUGAGCUGGCAGGUGGGUGGCCUGGCCAUGCGGAGGGGAAAGCCAGGGAGGGAGGACGGCUGAGGUCUUCACAAGCCCCCACCUCCAAGAGGAGAUCCUGGAACCAGAAAACCACAGCAAAGUUGGACAUUGAACUGGCUGUGUGAAUGCCUGCAGAACUGGCCUGAGGCUGCUUGGUGCAUCCUGGCAGAGAGAGUCCAGGCCAGGAAUCUUCCAGGAGGACCCUGGAUCUGGUGCAGCCACCAAAGGAUGCUCCAAUUCUAUGUCCAACAGACAUGACCUGGCAUUAAAUUCCAACAGCUGUGCAUACCCCUGCAACUUCCUUCUCACUAGACACUGUAGGAAUGUAAAGACUUUGUGGUUUCUAUCCACACACACCUUCAGGCAAGCAGUCGAGAAGUCAACUGUCAAAUAGCCUGCUUUUCAAUUGUCCUUGGCCUGUCUGCUUCAAGCUCUCAUUCGGAUGCUCUGUGUUAGCAAGAAAAUUCAACCUAACCCUGCUCUUCAUGUUUUAUUCAUAUUGAACAGGUGCCCUCUCUGAGCUGAAAUUCCUCAUCUCUAAAAUACAGUUAACUACCUCAAAAGGUUGUUGGGAUGAUUAAGACCAGCAAAGCACCUAGCACAGGGUCCAGCAUGGAGAGGGUACCCAAUGCUUAUGUCCCCCCACACUUCUUCUUUCUUUCUUUCCAUUUCUCUUUCUUUCUUUCUUCUUCUUUCUUUCUUUUUCUUUUUCUUUCUUUCUUUCUUUCUUUCUUUCUUUCCUUCUCUCUCUCUCUCUUU
This 1059-nucleotide long non-coding RNA is filed under the name Equus caballus (horse). RNAcentral's name for it is "lncRNA (ENSECAG00000060215.1)". Lineage: Eukaryota; Metazoa; Chordata; Mammalia; Perissodactyla; Equidae. The record is from RNAcentral.